UCUGCCUGGUAGUGGGGGACAACGUUUCGAAAGGAACGCUAAUACCGCAUACGUCCUACGGGAGAAGCAGGGACCUUCGGGCCUUGCGCUAUCAGAUGAGCCUAGGUCGGAUUAGCUAGUUGGUGAGGUAAUGGCUCACCAAGGCGACGAUCCGUAACUGGUCUGAGAGGAUGAUCAGUCACACUGGAACUGAGACACGGUCCAGACUCCUACGGGAGGCAGCAGGG
Molecule: ribosomal RNA, 227 nt
Filed under: uncultured Pseudomonas sp.
Lineage: Bacteria; Pseudomonadati; Pseudomonadota; Gammaproteobacteria; Pseudomonadales; Pseudomonadaceae
Description: partial 16S ribosomal RNA
Rfam family: Bacterial small subunit ribosomal RNA
Source: RNAcentral